AGAGUUCGAUUAUGGCUCAGGACGAACGCUGGCGGCGCGCCUAACACAUGCAAGUCGAACGAGCGAGAGAGAGCUUGCUUUCUCGAGCGAGUGGCGAACGGGUGAGUAACGCGUGAGGAACCUGCCUCAAAGAGGGGGACAACAGUUGGAAACGACUGCUAAUACCGCAUAAGCCCACGGGUCGGCAUCGACCAGAGGGAAAAGGAGCAAUCCGCUUUGAGAUGGCCUCGCGUCCGAUUAGCUAGUUGGUGAGGUAACGGCCCACCAAGGCAACGAUCGGUAGCCGGACUGAGAGGUUGAACGGCCACAUUGGGACUGAGACACGGCCCAG
Molecule: ribosomal RNA, 331 nt
Filed under: uncultured bacterium
Lineage: Bacteria
Description: bacterial SSU rRNA
Rfam family: Bacterial small subunit ribosomal RNA
Source: RNAcentral